GAGGAACGCGUGGACAACCUAACCCCGGCCGUGGGGGAGUACCCGCCAGAAAUGGCGGCUAAUACCGCGUACGGUUCUCUGGCGAGAGGCUGGGGAAAGAAAGCAGUGAUGCGCGCUGGGAGGGGUCUGCGACCGAUUAGCUUGUUGGCGGGGUAACGGCCCACCAAGGCAGUGAUCGGUAGCUGGUCUGAGAGGAUGAUCAGCCACACGGGGACUGAGACACGGCCCCG
This 230-nucleotide ribosomal RNA is filed under the name uncultured bacterium. RNAcentral's name for it is "partial 16S ribosomal RNA". It matches the Rfam family "Bacterial small subunit ribosomal RNA", at positions 108 to 334 of the family's 1533-position model. The record is from RNAcentral.